Megalobrama amblycephala (Wuchang bream) is the source of this 674-nucleotide long non-coding RNA. RefSeq lists it as uncharacterized. The transcript is spliced from 2 exons. Lineage: Eukaryota; Metazoa; Chordata; Actinopteri; Cypriniformes; Xenocyprididae. The record is from RefSeq and is a predicted model, not a curated record.
GAAAUCAACAUUAAUGUAAAAAGUACAUAAAAACUUGGCACGUGUAUUUUAAACUUUUUUUUAUAUAUCUCCUUUUUUUGUUGUAGCCUCUAUAUGUCACUGACCCAUGUUCUUUUUUUAUCUGUAAGCUUCAGUGAAAAUUUGGAGAAAUGAGGACAAAAUAACAAAAUGAAUAGAAUAACAUGCUUGAAUGAAUAAAUAUGAAGAAAAGAUGGCCAUGGAUAACUCGUGUGAUGGAGUGAGUGGUGGAACUCAUAUCCGGACUUGUUGCGAUUGUGAAGUUUAUUUCCUUUCUCGCACAGGGAUGUUUUAAUAACAAGCUCGAUGAGAGCCCCGUUGCCUGGCAACCGGCUGCUGUCAACAUGCAGGCUGUGUUACCGUGGGAACAGGACGACUGGUGGGAAGAGUGGGACACAAAGCUGACUUCCACCAAACAGUGAUCAGCUGACAUCUGGGGUCAACAUCAUGGCUCUCUUAGAGAUCCGACAGAACAGCUCCCUGAAGUUUGAUAUGAUGGGAUCAGGCAGGGGUCUGCGGGAGCCUGAGUACGCUGAUGGAUGAGGGAUUGAAGGCUAGCCAGAUGAUAGAUCUGGACUGGAACAUGUCCGCCGAGUUACUGCCAGAACUGACAGCUCAACACAAUGGUGAUGUCUAUAAAGAUCUGGAUGUCUGAA